ACAAACAAAAAAAAAGAAAGAAAGAAAGAACACUAGAGAAAGGGUCGGCAAAACAGUGAGUGUUUUGUUGUUUUUGAUUCUAUUGAUCUCUCACUGUCAGGUUGCACUGCCGAUCUGUUCACAAUCAUAACUAACUAAUACCUUAGCUUUGGCCAAUCUCAUGUUGCAAUUUUGCUUCAAACACAACAUUCAGGGAUUCUUAUGAAAACAGCAGCAUUUCUGAAAGAUCCUGGAACGGCCACAAUCUCAAGAGGUAGUACGAUUCUACCCGUCGUCAUAUUUCGUCCGCCAAGCCAUUGCGCGGAGAUGUUGGCUCCAUGCCCAUUUCAACACAGGCUCACCCGCGCUCGCUCGCGCGUCGUCGCUUGUCUUCCAUGCCACCAGCCAGCGCUGCGCGCUGCCUGUCGCGCAUGCGCUGUUCUUGUUGGCUUCGCUUUGGCUGCUGUAACGGUCGUUUCUCGUCGCCGCGUGUAGUUCGCGUAAUUGCGAGCGUUCCAGCAAGUCUAAAGCGUUUUAGAGGCUUUGUAUUGUUGUUCUCACCUGGUGCUGUCGUUCUUGCAACCCGUCUGAUAUUGCAACUGUCUGUAAGUGGAAGCGUUUCUUCUAACCGCGAGCAAACCAGUCGGUCUCGUUUGACAUGUCAAAGAGUGAAGACGCUACCUUGCAUGUGAAGCCAAAUCGUUCUUCGCCUUCAGGAUUAUUGCCGUUUCAGGGAUCUGCGCAACGACAGGGAGAUAGAACGCCAAGUGAAGUCGACUGUGUACUUUGUGCAGACGGUUCAGCGUGUAUGACGCAGCGGCCUUCAGCAAGAGAAACUCAAGCACCGUGUUCAAAUGCAGUGGGGACUCUUGCUGGCCAUGACAACGCUUAGAAGUGCUUUUUCGGAAGAAGGACAAGUUGGACCGGAAAUGAGGACCUAGGUGUGCUCUUUUGCGCUGUUGUUCACCGUUCGAUCAUUACCAGUUUUUGUGCCCCCGUGAGUUCAACGCUUAGGUAUGUUGAUGAUAAAUGGAUAUGCGUUAAAAGGUACGUACUCCGGAGUGGUGAAUUGUUCUGGUGAAGUGAUUCGUUGCUGCUAUCUCCUGUUUCGUGAGGGUUCUUGUCGGUACUCAUAUACCGCAGGCAUGAGGGGCUUUCUUUGCAGAACAUUUCAGUAAACCAAGACUGCAGCAUUUUCAAGAUUGCCAUAACCAGCAUCAAUGCAGCUCUCAUGUCAACAUCAGCAUCAAGACAGCUCUGAUAGACCACCUCUUACUGUGUACGUUCCCCCCCCCCUUUUGAGACACCAUUGAAGGGCCAGUGGUUACGCAGGCAGGCUGGAUAUUACGACACAAUUGGCAUGCAUUGGAUGAUGCAGGCAGACUGCUUAGUGUACACCACUCGUCGUUUAGUCUAUUGAGGUGCUCCAAGUGUUGUGUCAGUCUAUUUCCUCUCCGAAAAUAAAAUGUUGGGCUCUACA
Ornithodoros turicata is the source of this 1459-nucleotide long non-coding RNA. RefSeq lists it as uncharacterized. NCBI's taxonomy places the organism in Eukaryota, Metazoa, Arthropoda, Arachnida, Ixodida, Argasidae. The record is from RefSeq and is a predicted model, not a curated record. The transcript is spliced from 5 exons.